Molecule: ribosomal RNA, 433 nt
Filed under: uncultured bacterium
Lineage: Bacteria
Description: partial 16S ribosomal RNA
Rfam family: Bacterial small subunit ribosomal RNA
Source: RNAcentral
AACGAACGCUGGCGGCAUGCCUAACACAUGCAAGUCGAACGAGACCUUCGGGUGUAGUGGCGCACGGGUGCGUAACGCGUGGGAACCUGCCCUUAGGUUCGGAAUAACUCCCCGAAAGGGGUGCUAAUACCGGAUAAUGUCUUCGGACCAAAGAUUUAUCGCCUUUGGAUGGGCCCGCGUUGGAUGAGCUUGUUGGUAGGGUAAAAGCCUACCAAGGCGACGAUCCAUAGCGGGUCUGAGAGGAUGAGCAGCCACACUGGGACUGAGACACGGCCCAGACUCCUACGGGAGGCAGCAGUGGGGAAUCUUGGACAAUGGGCGAAAGCCUGAUCCAGCAAUGCCGCGUGAGUGAUGAAGGCCUUAGGGUUGUAAAGCUCUUUUACCCGGGAUGAUAAUGACAGUACCGGGAGAAUAAGCUCCGGCUAACUCCGUG